CGAUAGUGAACCAGUACCGUGAGGGAAAGGCGAAAAGAACCCCGGCGAGGGGAGUGAAAAAGAACCUGAAACCGUGUACGUACAAGCAGUGGGAGCCCCACCACUAAGCCAGUGGUGAACUCCACAUACGCAUCCUUUGCUGAGGAUACGGUUAACGGAGCGAAAGCGACGUUCAACCUCAAAAGAAGCAGAGGGGGCUUAGUGGUGGGGUGACUGCGUACCUUUUGUAUAAUGGGUCAGCGACUUAUAUUCUGUAGCAAGGUUAACCGAAUAGGGGAGCCGUAGGGAAACCGAGUCUUAACCGGGCGUUAAGUUGCAGGGUAUAGACCCGAAACCCGGUGAUCUAGCCAUGGGCAGGUUGAAGGUUGGGUAACACUAACUGGAGGACCGAACCGACUAAUGUUGAAAAAUUAGCGGAUGACCUGUGGCUGGGGGUGAAAGGCCAAUCAAACCGGGAGAUAGCUGGUUCUCCCCGAAAGCUAUUUAGGUAGCGCCUCGUGAAUUCAUCUCCGGGGGUAGAGCACUGUUUCGGCUAGGGGGCCAUCCCGGCUUACCAACCCGAUGCAAACUGCGAAUACCGGAGAAUGUUAUCACGGGAGACACACGGCGGGUGCUAACGUCCGUCGUGAAGAGGGAAACAACCCAGACCGCCAGCUAAGGUCCCAAAGUCAUGGUUAAGUGGGAAACGAUGUGGGAAGGCCCAGACAGCCAGGAUGUUGGCUUAGAAGCAGCCAUCAUUUAAAGAAAGCGUAAUAGCUCACUGGUCGAGUCGGCCUGCGCGGAAGAUGUAACGGGGCUAAACCAUGCACCGAAGCUGCGGCAGCGACACUGUGUGUUGUUGGGUAGGGGAGCGUUCUGUAAGCCUGUGAAGGUGGCCUGUGAGGGUUGCUGGAGGUAUCAGAAGUGCGAAUGCUGACAUAAGUAACGAUA
This 930-nucleotide ribosomal RNA is filed under the name Salmonella enterica subsp. enterica serovar Brancaster. RNAcentral's name for it is "partial 23S ribosomal RNA". It matches the Rfam family "Bacterial large subunit ribosomal RNA", at positions 485 to 1314 of the family's 2925-position model. The record is from RNAcentral. Lineage: Bacteria; Pseudomonadati; Pseudomonadota; Gammaproteobacteria; Enterobacterales; Enterobacteriaceae.